Molecule: long non-coding RNA, 8013 nt
Filed under: Sorghum bicolor (sorghum)
Lineage: Eukaryota; Viridiplantae; Streptophyta; Magnoliopsida; Poales; Poaceae
Description: long non-coding RNA (SBIC_LNC016589)
Source: RNAcentral
AUAUUAUAGCUAAUAAAAGACCAAAGUGCCCCCAAUGAGAGAAGAAGAGAUGCAGGGAUAGAUGUGUAUUGGAAUAAAAGAAAAUGUAUUAGGAAAAGAGAGGUGUAUUCAUAUGCUAUAAGACUAAGUAUUUUUGGAUAAAAUUGAAUCUGAUAAGAUGUAUUUUAUGAUGGAGGGAGUAUGCUUAAAACUAAUUAACCAAGAAAAACCUCAAGCACUCGACGGGUGAGUUUAGACUGGUACAAAAGGCGAUCACAUGAUUUUACAUAAGGAUGGACUCAAGUCCUUUGUGCCCAUGAUUGUGAGCACCCAAUUCCUCGUCUCAUAAAUAUCUUUGAACUUUGAGGAUUGCAACAUAAGAGGAUGCUCUUUCUAAUUAAAAACCUGUGUAUCCCUGUCAUUCCAUAGUUUCCAAAUUGCAAGGAUGAUCAUGGACCUUAUACAAAUAAGCAGCCUUCCCUCCUCCUAGAAACACUUGAUCGGUUCUUGAGUUCAAGUUCUUGCACUUUAAGCUACUUUGACACCUUUAUUAGAACCAUGGUUAUGGAGACAUUUGAUUGAUCAUUGAUCAUGUGUGGUGAACAUAUCUACAUUUAUUCUAGAGGGAAGACCAAGAUUUUAAAAUUAUUCGUUAGAACAUGAGCAGUUUCAGCAAAUUAUCCAUCAUGGCUGGUCAAUCAACACCAACCAAACAGAUAAAGCCUAAAUAUUAUUGCAAAGUUUAAAACCUUAAGAAGGGUUGCUCAAAAGCUGGCAACUUAAUGUAUUUGGUCUCAGUGCUGAUCUUGAAAAAUGUCAAGAACACCAUAUCAUUCAUGGAAUUUGUCAUUUAAUGGAAUUUCAAAGAGUUUCUUAAUUAGAAACAUAUUUCCCUACUUAACCAGCAAAGAAUCCAUUAGAAGCAAAACAAAAAAAAUCAAUAUAUCGAAAUAAGCUCACCUUAUAAUCAAUGGUUGUAUUUGAAGACGUCAUGUCCUCAUCAAGAGCUAUUGCCAUUGAAUGAUAAAGCUCUCUAUGUGCAUCUAUGAAGCUCUUGAUCCCAAGGUUUUGUAGUCAAUCAAGGACUUGGAGAUGUCACAUAAUGUAUGGAUGAGGCUUGAGGACUCGUAUGAGCACACAUCGAUGGUAAAAGAAGCCAAACUAUAUAUAUUCAAGGACAAGUAUGCAAAGUUUAAGAUGCUAGAAGAUGAGAGUGUAUUUUUUAUAGGCUAUUUCACUCCUCUAGCCUUCUAGAUCUUUUCUCUAUGGACAAAGCAGAAGCAAAUGAUAGAAAACCUCCAAAAUUGCUUGGAAAUGGUUUGUCUCCCAAAAACUAAGGUAGCAUUUGGUUACCAUGGGAUUCCAAGAAAUUGGUAUAAAAAAAAUCCUAUAAUACUAGAAUUCCAUCCAAACAAGGUAUGAUUCUAGUGAAUUUUAACAUACUUGCACGUAAUCCAAUAAAAUAUAUCAGAUUAUUUUAUCCAGAUUCUUAAAAUCCACUUGGAUCCAAAUGGGGCCUAAAGGAGGUCUUGGAGUCCUAAAACUAAAAAUUCAGAAUGAAGCUCUACAGCUAAAAAAUUGUACACAAAUUCUUCAAUAGCAAGGGUUGGGAUACUGCUUUGGAUCGUCAUGGUAUCCAUGGUACGGAACUAUUGAUUUGGGACAAGGUUUUUCACGAAACUAAUAACUAAAGUGAAAUUAUGAAAGGUACAAAAUGUUUUUUAAGAAUUCAAAAUUCUAAUGAUAUUGGGUAGAUUGCGCGCUCGCACGUUUAUAGGGAUGAAGAUUCAUAUAUGUAUAUGAGUGUCUAUGUUGUUUUAAAAGAAGAAAUCAUAAUAAUAUCUCUAGUCUACGGUUCGUCUAGAUUCACAUUAAAAGCAUGUUAGGAUUAGGUAGGUCUAGCUUACUAGUUGGGCAAAAAAUUAGCUUAAAUUACCUAAUAUUGGCUACCUAUUGACUAACACCUAGUUGAAGCUUUGCGAAAAAGAUAACUCAUCUAUUAGCCCUCCUGUUUGGAUGCACUAGAGCUAAUUUUAGCUAAAAUUUUUAGCUAGCUAGCAAUUAGCUAUUGUAUCCAAACAAGCUUAAGGAUUGCAACAGUGCAGCACAUACCUAUACAUAACUUUUCCUUUCCAUUGUUCAAUAAUUGAAAGUACAUACCAAUAUAAUAACCAUGCAUUAUGCACAUCUCUGAGAGUAAGACAACAUUGACGCACAGCCACACAAAUUGCAGGCACAAAUUGAAUGAUACAAACAUGCAUGGCAGUAAUAGCAGAUACAUAUAGGCGUGGCCGCGUGGGUGUAUAACCUUUCAGAUAGCUGAAGAGUGAAGACGAAAGUCAGAAACCUUUUGGUAUACUGUUCAUACAUAGAGGCAGUGUCAGCUCAGAUGCUGGCGAAUCAUCUUACACCCCCACUAACUAAUGUUAGCCCGAUCGAGGUUGGUGAGUGGCGACCCUACUAAAGUAGCUUUGAUCAAGCCGCAAAACACCCGCGCCACACACAGGUCAUAGGCUGCAUGACAUGUGGUAAUAACUCGUUCAGCUAGCUCUCUCAAACGUUCCAGAACCCUAGCUAAUCUUUACCCAGAUCGUGGUGGAUACAAAUCUGAAUGAUACAUGUCUGUUCCUGCACGUCAGUUGAUCCUAUAUUAGUAUAUAUAUGUAUCCGGUCGUGAAUAUUUUCGAGACAUUAAAAAUUAUCCUAUCCAUGAAUUGAUCACUUCUUGUCCCAUCUAAUUAGUCGCUGCUGAAAAAGUGGACGCACGGCAGGAGAUCGGCUAUGUGCCGUCAACCACACUGGGUAGACGAUGAUGAUGACUGAUCGAUGAGGCCAUGGUUGGAACGGCCUCAUUCGCACGGCUGCUUAGUGCGCUCUGCCUGCAACUUCCUGACCGCUGAUUAGGGUUUUGUUUAAUGCUAUUGGUUUAAAAAGGCAGGAAUAAUUUAAAUUAUUGUUUCCAGGAAUCUAUCACGCCGAUUGUAAAUUAUUGGAAAAUAUGCAUGAAGCAUGAGUGAAAAGGUUGCCGCACUGAUGCUUUGCGUUGGGUUAGAUACUUAGAUGUCAUGCUGUGUUAGAGGGGUUCAGUGGUCUGACUUGUCAUUGCUGGAUUGGACAGACUCCAUGUUUGUAGGGUGCCACCUCAAUCCGACUUGUCACAUAAUUACUGGCUAAAGGGAAUGGAUGCGUGUAGAUUCGGGAAUUAAGGCUCUUCUUCCCUACCCUAGCUCUUUUUUUUUGCCUAUAAAUGAAACUAGAUCAGGGCAACACAUGUUUCUUUUUAAGAUGGAAUUGUUCCGAUGUUACUAAGGGGCCGUUUGAUAAAGCUCAAUCUCUAGCCACAACAGCUUCAGUAGUAGCUUCUCUGAUGAAGCUGUUUUUUUUUUGCUUCUGCUUCUCUAGUUAGAAAAAUAUUUGGUAAAACGAUUUUUCUUCUAGUUGUUGAAAAUGGUGAAAUAUCUAUAUAAUAUCCUUCUAUAUUUUCUUUCUUUCUUUCUCUCUCCUUGUUCUUUUCUUCCUUUAUUUUUUCCUCCUUACUUUAUUCCUCUUCACUCUCCACCUUAUAAUGCCUACUAGUGGAUGACGCGCGCUCUUGCGCGCGAGACUAAACCAUCUCGACAAUAAUAUGUAAUAUUAGUUGUAAUGGUGGUAAACAUGAUAGUCUUAAUUGAUUUAAGCACAAUGCAGUAAACAUAGGUAGACAUACAUAAUAUUACAUGUCAUAUUAUAUUGAUGCUUACCAGGUUUGGUAGAUGGCAAGUCUCGACGCCAAUAUAAAAGCAUUACAGAGUGCUAGGUAAUAUUAUACAACAUUAAUAUUAUACAACAUUAGUAGGAUGUAGAGUCUAGGCUCCGUGAGAUAUAUUGUACAAAAGCAUCUCAGUCUGCCCAAGCACUCUUAUAGGUCCAUGGCAUUAGCAUCAUUAUGUAGGGUGGAACUUGGAGAAGGCUGUUCACUGUUGUGAAGCAUGCGAGCGCUUGCGUCUGAUGAGUUAACUUUAAUAAAGUAGUCCAUAGCAAACAUCCAUAUGUCUUCUAACUGCAUGUCCAACUGGAAUUGUUGGUCGAUUGCAAUCUUGAUACUUUGGUGGCUGAUUGCAUCGGUGGCUGAUAGUAGAACCUUUGGCAUCACUGCAUUGUCAAAGACAUUUGAGUCAUUGAUGUGGAGGUAUGUCGUGUUGACUAUCGUCAGGUUUGGGUAAUGGUAAUUAGCCAUCCCCUAGAUAUUGUGGCCUGUAUAAUUUUUAAUUCUAGUCAACGAUUAAUUUGAAGCACAAGCAAACUGAUGGGUUUAAAAAUAUGUCAAUAUAGAGGACGUAGUUGUCACAUAGAAUUAGGAAUGGAAUGAGUCAUUACUGUAUUAUUCCUAAAUUCAGUACAUUUUUCCAUGUAAAAGGAAUCCUGACUAUAUUGACAACAAUUUAUGAAGCUAUGAAAUAGGACUGGCAUAUAGCUAGUUAUUCUCUUUGGUUUAAAUGACAAUGUCACAUGGUAAUACACUAAUACUGCACAUUAUUACUAAGUGUUUUCAUGGAUGUCACUUUUUUGUGUGUUCGUAAGUCUUGAGACUCAAAGGAUCAAUGGUCCAAAAUUGAGCUGCCAUUGAAUGGAUUGACAAGCAAUGGGAGGGAACAGGAGUAUAGAGUUUUGUCAGAUCUCACGUACUGCUGUUGUAGCUGGGCUGGUGGCUGUGGCUUGAUUGAGUGGACUGUAAGUGAGAAGCAAUUGUAAUGACUUGCGUAUACCGUGAAAGCAAGCAUAGGAGUCACCCAAAAAAUAGGACAAUAUGGUAACUCUAAAAUCAGCCCGGCACUUCUACUUUGGUUAAUAGCUCAAGGACUAAACUGGGAUAACAAACAUUUAAGCCCAGACCAUAUGCCAUGAUUAACUAUGGAGGUCUAUCAUAGCUUAGUUCAGGAACAGGAGCGGAAGUAAUUGGAAGCUAUCCAAACCUUUGGCUACGCAAUACCACAAAUAUUAGGCGCGGUAGAGUAUAAGACAAAUAAAGGCAAAUAUUAUCAUUGACCAAUUGGUGAGCCAAAGCAAAAGAAGAGAUGGCGAGGAAAAGGAAGAGCAAGCAAAUUUAGUAAGUGACCAAAGAAAAAAAGAAAAAUAAUAAUAUGUUACUCUAAGAAAACUGCUAGGCCAUGUAUUGUUUUGGUGUACUGUCGAGGCAGCUCUUUGAUGAGGGAUUCCACAACAAUGGAAUCCCUCAUAACAGUCUGAAGGCAGUAAAGUCCAAUUUUUUAAAAAAUGAACACCAACCUGAUUUGUGUAGAAAAGCCUGCAACGAUGCAACACUUGGCCUGUCUGGUAAUCCAAAAGGACCCUGGAUGUGGGAAGGCAAAAAUAUUUUAACAAAUCAGGAAACUUGAAAUAGAACAAGCAUUAUAAGUCAGAUUACGAAGAAUGUACAAUGCAUGUAUUGGUAGAUGCAAAGAACAAUAGGCACUUCCUUCUUUCAGUCUUUAAAAAAAGUGGGCACUUCCUUCUUUCAGUCCUUAAAAAUAGUGCUUCUAUUGAAUCCCAGUCCUUAGUCGAUGACACAAUGUAAUUUAAUACAAUUCCUCUGAAACGAAAGAGUGAAUCAGUUGAAAGGCUCUGCUCUAUAGGGAAAUGAAACAAAUGGACUAUGUCAAUUUAGAUGGCACUCUCUGGACAGGUAAAUAAAAUCAUUCCCCAUAUGUAGGCAUAUGGUUUGGACUGUCUGUACACAAUUUUAGUAGUUGAUGAGGACACCGUCCUUAUCAAAUAAAUUAAAUGCAGUAAUAGUGAUCGUAUCAUAUUAUUCAUGGCAAUAGUACGAAAUCUGAAACAAAACCAAAUAUCAUAAUUGAUUAAUUGAGGCAUAAAAUUUUUGAAUCGACCACGUUAAGCCAACCUGUACAAAUAAUGGAACCUUUCUCUGUUGCUGUAGCUGCAUGUUCCAUAGUCCUGACAAAUAGGAAAAUUCCACUAUUAAUAAAUAUGAGGAGCAUAUAAAAGUUAGGAUGUUAUUAACAAUAAGAAAGACCAUACUAUGAGUCGGAUACCCGCAUAUAAGCAUAAAUUGUUUUGUUUAACUAAAACACAUGGAGCUUGUGCAAUAUGUAGACAACAAAUUUUAGGCAUGUCUUGGAUGAAUAUAGAAACUAAAGAUUAUACUUGGUACAGAAAGCUAUGAACAUACAAAUCCAUUUUUUGUGAUUACUAUGUGAAUGAAUGUACAGAAAAUAGUGACCUUCAGUUGUGCCUAUAUCACCUAAAAUUAGUCUCACACAUGCUCGAAAUUACAUAAGCAACAAAUAUACAUCAUACUGGUCUUGGUCAGAAAAAAAGAUGCAUAAGGUGUUUUCUUACCAAGUAGCAGGCGAGCGUCACCAAUGUUCCCAAAAAUAUCAACAAAAACAUUAAGUGGACGAAGAUAAAAGCAAUUAGAGCACAAUGAAGCACAAGAUUCAUACCCAGAAAAAAAUCAAAGAAAUAGUUAAACCGAAAAUGACUGUACGCAACCAAAGUGUAUACCAAUGUAAUCAUCGGGAUAGGGCAUGUGCUCAGAAGUGAUAGUAUGGCAUCACAGGCAAUGCUCACAGGCAGCAAAGCAAGAACUAUCAUAGGCAAUGGCAACACAAUCUCAGAGUCAUGAUCAAGAGCAAGUUUCAGGCGCGUAGUAUGUGACAAAAUAGGCAAUCGGUAUUAUCUCUCAUUAAUGUGUCCAAACUAAACAAAACAGUUCAGGCAGGAAUGAAUGGAAGAAAACCAAGACAACCAAUUGACCAUUGCGUAAGUUGUCGAUAUAGAAAAAAGAUAUAAGAGGAAAACCGGUCAUAGGUCAUGAGCAUUGCCUCAGACAUCUAAAAAGAUAGAGAUGUAAUCUGUGGAACGCACACAAUAAUCAUUACAUGGAACACAAAUAAACCUAAUUUAUGGUGCAAUCAUCAUAGCAGUAGCCCAUUCCCUUAAUUGUAGAUGUAAAUUAUACUCAUCAUCACACAUGGCUGAAAUGCAAACAAUGAACCCAAAAACAUCAAUACUGCAGUGCACGUGGUGUCAAACCAAUAACAGUGGCAUGCUCAUGUGCUCAGAGUUUAGGACUUACAGUGGAAGCUGUAAAAGUCAGGCAUAAGCAUCAAGUAAACCCAAAGAAGGUUUAGAAAUCACAGGAGGUAUUUGGUGACAAAAUCAGCUAAAUCAGCUGCAAUGUUUAUGAACCACAGGAUAGCAAAUCAAAGUGUUGAAAACAUUUGAGAAGACAUGGUCAGGGGUUCUUCGGAGGAGCUGCACGGGUAUUGUAGGGGAUAACAACAAAAAUUCACAAUAACCAUGUGUAGAUUUGUGAGAGAGUAGAAUGAGAACACCACAUCUACGGCGAAAUCGAGCCUGCGUCCAUGCAUAUCCCACAUGAGGAGAGAGGGGGAGGAAGGGAGGGAGGAAGGGAAAGUGAGGGAGAGUAAACCUGCGAGUGGAUGGAUCGAAGGAGAGCAGAGCCGCAUCGACUAUGUGCAGGAGCUCACGCAGAGGGGGGCGACCAUGGCCAACGGCGGUGUCCGAACAUGUCGCGCCGCCGUGUGGGACCCAUACCACCUGCGUCGUGCCCUGCGAGGAGCCAUGUCACGGGGCCAAGCCGUGUGGGGUAGGUGAGUAUGGAGGGGGCCGCCGGGCUGCCACCCGAUGAACGGCCAAAACCCUAGGUUGGGUUUCUGUUGACCUAGGACCAGAGAGGGCGUCACGGUGGUCGACAGCGAUGACCUCGGUGGGCACACAGCAGCGACGCAGAGGUAGCACAGGACACCAUCAAAUAGUAGGCCAGACAAAGCAGAGGAAACAGCAGGAACCCCCAAGAUCACGACAGGAGCGACGGCGCCAAGGGAGAGAACAGACGAACCGAGCCUGAGGAAGACGAAAGGGAGGAUAAAACUGGGAGCAUUAGGCGGUGUUGGGUCCUUUUUCUGGUGGCUUGUGGGCCCCUACUUGGUUGGUGCAACAGGGAUGGCAAUAAAUGAGACAAACACACUUAAGAAGCUAUGGAGCCGAAGCGAGAGGCAGAAUCAACCA